This 66-nucleotide transfer RNA is filed under the name Diplocheila zeelandica. RNAcentral describes it as "tRNA-Pro". The record is from RNAcentral. RNAcentral also lists the same sequence under 1 other name. Lineage: Eukaryota; Metazoa; Arthropoda; Insecta; Coleoptera; Carabidae.
CAGAGAAUAGUUUAAUUAAAAUAUUAAUUUUGGAGAUUAAUGAUAAAAGUGUAUUUUUUUCUCUGA